Molecule: non-coding RNA, 123 nt
Organism: Paramuricea clavata
Lineage: Eukaryota; Metazoa; Cnidaria; Anthozoa; Malacalcyonacea; Plexauridae
Source: the annotation of a GenBank genome assembly
AUAUUUCGAAACUGAGUCUAGUUCCUUCGAUAUCAGUGUAAUCUAAUGAUCAUGAUAUUUGAUUACACUGAUAUUUAUUAGAUUACACUGAUAUCGAAGGAACUAGACUCAGUUCCGAAAUAU